RNAcentral lists this non-coding RNA (31 nucleotides) under Mus musculus (house mouse). Lineage: Eukaryota; Metazoa; Chordata; Mammalia; Rodentia; Muridae. The record is from RNAcentral.
UUACAUAAGGUACUGUAUGUAGAUUGAACUC